Molecule: long non-coding RNA, 1879 nt
Organism: Piliocolobus tephrosceles (Ugandan red Colobus)
Lineage: Eukaryota; Metazoa; Chordata; Mammalia; Primates; Cercopithecidae
Source: Ensembl
AUGAUACAUAUAGUCAUGGUUCCAAUUACAAUCGUGACAAUAUUUAUAACAGUAAUGAAAACUUAUUCGAAAUGUAUGAUUCUAAAAAUAAUAAAAAAAUUAUUUAUUGUACUGUUAAAAAUCAUUACAAUCCUAUUAAAGAAAAUAAAAAUGAUAAAAAUAAAAAUGAUAAAAAAAAAAACAGAUUUUCAAGACAUUGUUUAUAAAAAUGAUAUAUAUGAUUAUUUACUAUACCAGUAUGAAAAUAAUUAUAAAAAUUUAGUUAAUUUGAAAUUACCUGAACAAAAUAGUAUAAACCAACAAAACCAGUUUAUCUUUUCAAAAAUAAAUACAUCACCAGGUAACGUUCUUCCCAUAAAAGUGGAUAAAGAAAAAAAAGAAAAAAAUUAUAAAACAGAAGAAACAACCGGACUUACAAAUAGUAACAAUGUUAAUAUGUAUUUUAAAAAAAUAAUAAACAUUUUAGAUUAUAAUAGUAUUAUUAAAAAACAGAAUACGGAUAUACCUAAAUGUGAUGAUACUGUACCUGUUGGUAAUGUACCUGUUGAUAAUGUACCUGUUGGUAAUGUACCUGUUGGUAAUAUACCUGUUGAUAAUAUACCUGUUGAUAAUGUACAUAAAAUAGAUCACAAAAAAGUUGGUAUUACCGAUAUAAGUACAGGUCCUACUGAUAUACAACCCAUAAAUUCUUAUAUAAAAACAAAAUUAGAAACAAUGGAGGUCCAACUCGAAACAGUAAAAAAACAAAAUAUAUUCCAACGUAGUACUAAGAAGUUAACUUUAAAAGAUAAGGAUAAGGAUGACACAGAUAUAUAUAAAUACAUUAACAAAGUAUAUACAGAAGAACCUAAGUUGUUUUUAUACUACGACAAACGGGAUGUUAACGAAAAAUGGGAUGUUAACGACAAACGAGAAAGAUUGAAUAAAAAAAAAACUAAUAAAUGUAAUUUAAUACAAAUAAAUAAAACUUUUAAACAUAUUUUUAAAAAAUUGAUUUAUGAAAACACAGUAGUUAUUAGUAAUAUAGGUGAAAAAAUAGAUACAACACCAUUUUCAUCUGAUAUAAUUAAUAUAAAAAACAAAAAUAAUUUUUUUUGUUUUGAUACUAAAAAAAAACAGACAGAUAGUAUUUAUUCUUAUAUUACAUCUAGUCAUAACAAAAUUAACUACAUUUAUUUGAAUUACGAGUUGUCGCUUUUGGAAGAUAACAGUGGGAUGACUAUUAGUAAUGGAGAUGGCGAUGUAAUUAGUGGAUAUAACGAUGUAGUUAGUGGGGAUAACGAUAUAGUUAAUGGGGAUAACGAUAUAGUUAGUGGGGAUAUAACUAGCGAUUACGUUUCUAGUAAGGAUAUAACUACGGAUGAUACAUUUAGUAGUAUAACAACGAGUAGCAACCCAACCCAAAGCAAAAUAAUUAACAACCAUAUGAUAGACCACACAAACAAAACUGCUCAAAUAAUAAAAAGUAACAAACAUAUCGCAACAAAUAAAUUUUUAACAUUUUCUUUUUAUUUUUCAAAUAUUAUUAUCAUCCAUAUAAAUAGUAAAAAUUAUGAAACUACACUUUCAUUAAUAGCUAGCUAUCAUGACAUUAUUGAGAACAUUAAAAAAAAUAUAAAAAAAAAAAAAAACAAACAAAAAAAAGGAAAACAUACGGAAGUGCAUACAAGACAGUCAUCAGUGUCACUACAUAAUAAUAAUAAUUUAAUAGUUGUUGACAAAAGAACACAAACAAAAAAAAAACAACAAAAAAGAACGAAUGAAUAAACAAGUUCACGAAAAAAAAACGUAUGACCACUUCUGUGGCUUCACAAAAAACGUCCAACUUAGAUAGUGAUAGAUUAUACCCAAAAAAUAAAUCCAACAAAGAUAAUAUACA